CCAAUAGCGUAUAUUAAAGUUGCUGCAGUUAAAAAGCUCGUCGUUGAAUUUCGGGACCAUCACGUCGGUCGUGCCCCGGUACGUACUGGCGUCGUUGGUUUCUCCCUUCUGACGAACCAUGAUGUCAUUUAUUUGGUGUCGUGGUGAAUCAGGUCUGUUACUUUGAAAAAAUUAGAGUGUUUAAAGCAGGCUCACGCUUGCAUACAUUAGCAUGGCAUAAUGAAAUAGGACGUUUGAUUCUAUUUUGUUGGUUUCUAGGAUCGACGUAAUGAUUAAUAGGGAUAGUUGGGGGCAUUAGUAUUCAAUUGUCAGAGGUGAAAUUCUUAGAUUUAUUGAAGACUAACUACUGCGAAAGCAUUUGCCAAGGAUGUUUUCAUUAAUCAAGAACGAAAGUUAGGGGAUCGAAGACGAUCAGAUACCGUCGUAGUCUUAACCAUAAACUAUGCCGACUAGGGAUCGGAUGAUGUUAAUUUUUUUAAUGACUCAUUCGGCGCCUUACG
This 500-nucleotide ribosomal RNA is filed under the name uncultured Glomeromycotina. RNAcentral describes it as "partial small subunit ribosomal RNA". It matches the Rfam family "Eukaryotic small subunit ribosomal RNA", at positions 591 to 1092 of the family's 1831-position model. Lineage: Eukaryota; Fungi; Glomeromycota. The record is from RNAcentral.